CAUUCUCCACUCAUAGUGGGUAGCAGCACCUAACCAACAUGGACUGAUCUUGAAAGAACAAAGCAAGGUUUGACUUGGUUAGAACUUGAAUGGAAGACCAGCAGGAGAUUCCAUGGAUGUAGUACAGAUUGAGAAAUCAAAAAGAAGGUGGUGAGAUUGCUCCCUAUAGAAUGGAUGAUUUCUGCCUAUUGCUGCUUUUUUCUUUGAACAUGCUGAUCUUGGAAAGCUGCUCCUUGUGUAUGGAUGUGUAUCAAGAAAGGGACUACAGGUUGUCCCCAGUUUAAGAAUGAGUUCCAUUCCGAAGGUUCUCUAAUCUCAAUUUCACCAUUGUCCAUGCUGACUGGUCAUGAUGGGAAUUAUAAUCCAACUUGUUUGAUGAGCACCAAAGGGAAAGACUGCUUAGAGGAUUGCAUUAGGAUGAUGGACAGUACAGCAGAAGAGGAAUGAUUGUUUCUAACUUCAGUUUUCAAAAGGAUAGGCUACGUAACAAUCACAUGGAACAGUAGGCAAGUCUAUUCUCUCAAAAUGUUUUGUUAACUUUUUCUUUAAGUUUAAAAGGUCACCAAGUGCCGUAGGCAUUGCAGAAAGAGAAGUAUGGAUUGUCAUGAACGGGCACUGUUCCAUGAUACUGGUGCAGAGUGAUCUCACGUAGCAUAUGCAAGAGGAAGAGAUAUAUGAACACACACAUGCACACACACCUCUGUGCCCCCCCCACACAAAGAGUUCUGCCAGUCAGAAAAUAAUGCAAUGUGAAUGCAAAGAGAAUUACAUAUAUACACGCACUGUUAAUUUUUGGACAUAUUUGGGCACAUCUGCUUGGAUUAUUCUGUGUUAAAAAUGAAUGAACAUUGUUUCAGAUUAGCUCUAGUGCCCCAUCUGCAGAUGAAUAGCAAUACUACUUACAAAUAUACUGAGGUUUUUUUUUUUUUUAAUAACAAGGCUUUGUGGGCUUUGGCCUGACUGUCCCCGCAGCCAGUCCCACCCAACAUUCACUAUUUGCUUAAGCAAGCCAUCCCUAGCCCAGGGCUCUUCAAAUGUGUAAUUUUGUCUUUUUUACCUUCUGCUGGCACUUCUACCUCCUAUUUCAUUUCUUAAUUUGAUUCAUUCACAUUUCUAAAAAUAUUAAUUAUGCUCAAUCAACUAACAAAGACAUUGUAGGGUAAAAGAGAGCAGCAAGUAAAAAUUCACGAAUAAGGGUUUUUUUUGCAAUGGAAAGCUCUAACAAAUUCCCCCUUUCCCCCGAUUUACACUGAAGGUUUGGGAUCAGUGCUUUUUUUUUUCAAGUUUUAUUUACAAAUUAUAAGGGAAAAAAAUGACAAAACACC
Molecule: long non-coding RNA, 1325 nt
Organism: Python bivittatus (Burmese python)
Lineage: Eukaryota; Metazoa; Chordata; Lepidosauria; Squamata; Pythonidae
Source: RefSeq, a predicted model, not a curated record